GAUGAAGAACGUAGUGAAAUGCGAUAAGUAAUGUGAAUUGCAGAAUUCAGUGAAUCAUCGAAUCUUUGAACGCACAUUGCGCCCCUUGGUAUUCCGGGGGGCAUGCCUGUUCGAGCGUCAUUUCAACCCUCAAGCUCAGCUUGGUAUUGAGUCCAUGUCAGUAAUGGCAGGCUCUAAAAUCAGUGGCGGCGCCGCUGGGUCCUGAACGUAGUAAUAUCUCUCGUUACAGGUUCUCGGUGCGCUUCUGCCAAAACCCAAAUUUUCUAUGGUUGACCUCGGAUCAGGUAGGGAUACCCGCUGAACUUAAGCAUAUCAAUAAGCGGAGGA
This 327-nucleotide unclassified non-coding RNA is filed under the name soil metagenome. RNAcentral describes it as "partial contains 5.8S ribosomal RNA, internal transcribed spacer 2, and large subunit ribosomal RNA". The stretch from base 1 to 120 matches the Rfam family "5.8S ribosomal RNA", at positions 35 to 154 of the family's 154-position model. The record is from RNAcentral.